AGGGUCGGUUCGGCCGGAUUUCACACAGGUGUUGCAUGGCUGUCGUCAGCUCGUGUCGUGAGAUGUUGGGUUAAGUCCCGCAACGAGCGUAACCCUCAUCCUUAGUUGCAUCAGGUAAUGCUGAGCACUUUAAGGAAACUGCUAGUGAUAAACUGGAGGAAGGUGGGGAUGAUGUCAAGUCAUCAUGGCCCUUAUGGAGUGGGCUACACACGUGCUACAAUGGUGGCUACAAUGGGCUGCAAAGUCGCGAGGCCAAGCUAAUCCCUUAAAAGCCAUCUCAGUUCGGAUUGUACUCUGCAACUCGAGUGCAUGAAGUUGGAAUCGCUAGUAAUCGUGGAUCAGCAUGCCACGGUGAAUACGUUCUCGGGUCUUGUACACACUGCCCGUCACGCCAUGGGAAUUGGUUUCACUCGAAGCUAAUGACCUAACCGCAAGGAGGGAGUUAUUUAAAGUGGGAUCAGUGACUGGGGUGAAGUCGUAACAAGGUAAGCGUAGUGCU
This 499-nucleotide ribosomal RNA is filed under the name uncultured bacterium. RNAcentral's name for it is "bacterial SSU rRNA". It matches the Rfam family "Bacterial small subunit ribosomal RNA", at positions 1011 to 1509 of the family's 1533-position model. The record is from RNAcentral.